Molecule: ribosomal RNA, 459 nt
Filed under: uncultured bacterium
Lineage: Bacteria
Description: partial 16S ribosomal RNA
Rfam family: Bacterial small subunit ribosomal RNA
Source: RNAcentral
GAUGAACGCUGGCGGCGUGCCUAAUACAUGCAAGUCGAGCGGUAAGGCCCUUCGGGGUACACGAGCGGCGGACGGCAGAGUAACACGUAGGAACGUACCCCAAAGUGAGGGAUAGCCCACCGAAAGGUGGAUUAAUACCGCAUGUGGUCUUCGGAUUAAAGCAGCAAUGCGCUUUGGGAACGGCCUGCGUAAGAUUAGCUAGUUGGUGAGGUAACGGCUCACCAAGGCGACGAUCUUUAGCUGGUCUGAGAGGAUGAUCAGCCUGACUGGGACUGAGACACGGCCCAGACUCCUACGGGAGGCAGCAGUAGGGAAUUUUCCACAAUGGGCGAAAGCCUGAUGGAGCAACGCCGCGUGCAGGAUGAAGGCCUUCGGGUUGUAAACUGCUUUUGUCUGAGAAGAAUAUGACGGUAACAGACGAAUAAGGGUCUGCUAACUACGUGCCAGCAGCCGCCGUAA